RNAcentral lists this ribosomal RNA (253 nucleotides) under uncultured bacterium. RNAcentral's name for it is "partial 16S ribosomal RNA". It matches the Rfam family "Bacterial small subunit ribosomal RNA", at positions 524 to 776 of the family's 1533-position model. The record is from RNAcentral.
UACGAAGGGGGCUAGCGUUGCUCGGAAUCACUGGGCGUAAAGCGCACGUAGGCGGCUUCUUAAGUCAGGGGUGAAAUCCUGGAGCUCAACUCCAGAACUGCCUUUGAUACUGGGAGGCUCGAGUCCGGGAGAGGUGAGUGGAAUUGCGAGUGUAGAGGUGAAAUUCGUAGAUAUUCGCAAGAACACCAGUGGCGAAGGCGGCUCACUGGCCCGGAACUGACGCUGAGAUGCGAAAGCGUGGGGAGCAAACAGG